AUUGAACGCUGGCGGCAUGCCUUACACAUGCAAGUCGAACGGCAGCACGGGAGCAAUCCUGGUGGCGAGUGGCGAACGGGUGAGUAAUAUAUCGGAACGUGCCCGGUCGUGGGGAUAACGUAGCGAAAGCUACGCUAAUACCGCAUACGAUCUACGGAUGAAAGCGGGGGAUCGCAAGACCUCGCGCGAUUGGAGCGGCCGAUAUCAGAUUAGGUAGUUGGUGAGGUAAAGGCUCACCAAGCCAACGAUCUGUAGCUGGUCUGAGAGGACGACCAGCCACACUGGGACUGAGACACGGCCCAGACUCCUACGGGAGGCAGCAGUGGGGAAUUUUGGACAAUGGGCGCAAGCCUGAUCCAGCAAUGCCGCGUGCAGGAUGAAGGCC
This 385-nucleotide ribosomal RNA is filed under the name uncultured bacterium. Its description in RNAcentral is "bacterial SSU rRNA". It matches the Rfam family "Bacterial small subunit ribosomal RNA", at positions 30 to 416 of the family's 1533-position model. The record is from RNAcentral.